RNAcentral lists this non-coding RNA (148 nucleotides) under Gorilla gorilla gorilla (western lowland gorilla). The record is from Rfam by way of RNAcentral. Lineage: Eukaryota; Metazoa; Chordata; Mammalia; Primates; Hominidae.
GCUGGGCAUAGCGGCGUAUGCCUGUGGUCCCAGCUACUCGGGAAGCUGAGGCAGGAGAAUUGCUUGAACCCGGGAGGCGGAGGUUACAGUGAGCUGAGAUCAUGUCACUGCACUCCAGCCUGGGUGACAGAGCAAGACUCUGUCUCAA